This is a long non-coding RNA of Rattus norvegicus (Norway rat), 9319 nucleotides long. RefSeq lists it as uncharacterized. NCBI's taxonomy places the organism in Eukaryota, Metazoa, Chordata, Mammalia, Rodentia, Muridae. The record is from RefSeq and is a predicted model, not a curated record.
GUGGAGCUUAGACAGAAUGCUAACAAAAAACAUACCCCACUUCUCAGGGUGGGCCUGAGAUUAAAUAUCUUUUGUAGGGAGCAGUGUCUGGGAAGGAAAGUUCAAUGGCUAAGCCUCCAGGCCUUUAGGUACCUCAUUAUAAUGGAGAACUGUCUUGAGCUUAUGUGGCCUGUGGUCAUGUCUUCUACCUGUGGAGGGGUUUGGGGCAUUGCACUUAUGAGACUGAUGGCCGCAAAUCUAUGGAGAGCCGAGGCUAGUGAUAGGGGCUUGGUUUCCUAGGAGUCAGGCUAAAUGCCUACCAUCCCUUGAGGGUCACCGUGGUUUCUAGCCUUAGUUCAAUCAGGAAUCAGGCUGACUUUCAUAGUCCCACAGGGCCUCUAGGAAGAGAUUCAGCCAUGAAGGUGAGGCCGUCAGUAACAAGGUUCAUGGAUCUUUAACUAAGAGUCCUAAGAGAUCUGAAUUUAUCCUGACACUGGCAACUUGAACUUUGGCCUUCUAUCCCAUCAGCCACUUCUACUGUGUGUAUUGUACACCAUCCAUUCCAAGGUGACUAAAACUGAAGCUACAGCAGGACCACAGCAAGGAGCCCGUGACCCUGCAUCUGGUGAUAGCAGAGAUACAGAGAAGCAGACGAGAUAGAAACAUCUGGAGACAGACACCGGUGGCAUCUGUUGGCAGUGCACUCAGGCUCUCAUCACCUGCCAAACCUGUUCUCUCACUCUGUCAUGAUGCUCUCUCUGCUGGGGACUGAGGUACUGGGAGGCUGGCAGAACUCAGGGCAGUGAGCCUCCAACCAACAAUUCUCCAUCUUGGAGACUGGUUCUACAGACCCUAAGCUUGUGGUCCUCAACCUACCUAAUGCUGUGACCCUCUAAUACAGUUCCUGUUGGGGUGACCUUCAGCCAUGAAAGGGUUCCCAUUGCUACUUCAUAACUAAUCUUGCUACCAUUAUGAAUCAUAAUGUGAUUGUAAUCUGAUGUGCAGGAUAUCUGAUAUUCAACCCUCCUGGAAAAGUCAUUUGAGCCUAAAGGGGUCUGGACCCACAGGUUGAGAACCACUGUUCUAAAUUAACAUAAUUGGUUCCAUGACUAGUCCUAGUGAGCAGAUCCUAAAGUGGGGAUUUGGAGCAACAGUCAUCUGGAUGCAAGGGCUCCCCUGGAGGACAGAAGCCUCUAUGGGGUCUGUGGCUGACCCUUCCGUGAUGGCGAAUUAGCUCAAGUCUUUUGAAAGACGUGUAGAAGUAGAGAUAUGAUUGAUCAGGCCAUGAUACAAUGGCACUUGCUAAAUAUUAGGGAAAAGGGCUGCGGUUGAUUAAUUACUGAUUGAACAUGAAGUCCGCCUUCAGAUAGCUUCCUUGGCAGCAUAAGAAAUCCAACUGGAGGGCUGGGGGCAGGGCUUCUGGUUUUGAGGCAGAGCCCAUGUAAACCACGGCAGUCUUGGCACUUGCUAUGUAGACCAUCAGCGAUCCACCUGCCUCUGCCUCACAAGUGCUGGGAUUGAAGCUGUGUGUACCAUCCCCGGCAGGCCAUAUCUUUAACAUAAGAUAGGGAAAUGACAGAGCUGAGAUUAAUUAGGAGUGCAGCACAACGGCGCUAGAUGCUUAUCGUGUAAGUGUGUGGGUAUUGGCCCUGUAUGUAUGACUGAACCACUUUCGUGCAUGCCCAUGAGGCCAGAAGAGGACAUCAGAUCCCUUGGAACUGGGGUUAUAAUGGGUGAGAGCUGCAUUGUGAGUGCUGGGGUUCUAACCAGAGUCCUCUGGCACAGAGGCCAAUGUUCUUAACUGCUGCAAUCAUCUCUCAUACGUGUAUGGUAGUUCUUAAUAGAAACUGGGAGAUAGGUUUAUUAAAAUGAGUGGAAAUGCCAGAGUAGAGGCAGGAAAAGGUCAUUACCAGUAGAGAGACAGUCAAUAGAAUCAUCUGUUAGGGCAAGAUAGGUGUGGUACGCACAAGGGCCUGACUCAGUUUUACACUAAAUAACAGGGGUGGGUGAUCACAAGAACAAGUGUUCUCUUAUAAAGUCAUUUCACGUUCUCCGAUUUCCACCCUUGGCCAGCUUUCAUGCUCAGAGUCUGUGGACUGAAGGCAAAGUUGGGUCUCAGGAACAAAGCUAAGAAAAAUGUCCGUUUCAAUCAUUCUCCUGAAGGAGUCUCCAGUUGUUUUCUUGUGUAAGGAAAAGUGCUAGACAUUUAGAUUACUGGAACUGUGUUGUAGCCAGGAGCCAGUGUGACCCCAUAGUUUCCCCUUCAGAAGUAAAAUAAUGUAUAGUGCUGAUUUGGGACCAUUUUGGUUUAUAGUGGUUUGUGGGUCCAUGAAGCCACCCAAUGAUCAUCUGCCCUGACUGACUACAGAAUUAGAAUGGAUGGGCCAUAAAGAACCAUUAUAGUGAGGCCGGCCAGGCGAGCAGGUGAAGCCCACGGAACUGCCUUCCUCUCCCUAGGCACAAGAGUAAAUUGUGAUAUUUAACCUAGUAGGAAUGUCAAUUUAUUGUAUGUUUUCUGGAGCUGAGGAUAGAGUGUAGUACUUCGUGCAUGCUAAGCAUGUGCUCUCCCACUGAGCCAUCCAAGCUGGCCCUGAGAAGGUCACGUUUUAGCUUGUUGCUUCAAGAUGUAAAGAACAGAGCAGGAGAUGGAGUCUCCAACAUACUCCCAGGUAAUGGAUGUCUUGGCCUUAAACAGUUUAGAAUACUGUCUGUUGAUAGUGGACUUUCACAAUUUUGUAAAAUUAUAUUUAUUUAUGCAUGUGGGAAGUGCAUGUGCAUGAACAUGUCACAACAUAGUGUGUACACGUGGAUAUCAAAGGACAACUUUGUGGAGUUGGUUCUCUGUUUCUGUCAGGAUGGGACUUCUGGUCUUAGCAGUGAGUGCCUUUGCCUGCUAGGCCAGUGCAUUGGGCCAGGACUUCCACAGCUCUGACCACAUAUUAGCCCUGGGUGAAUGGCUCUGCCAGGUGUGGGAUCUUGGCUAGGGCAUAAUGAUGUGGUUUGCUUACAGGGAGAAUGGCCGCUGACUGUGUACUUUUUCAUCUCUAGUAGAGCAAAGCGGUUCACACUCAGGAGGGGCAGGCAAUGGCGUCCAGGGAGGCUUUCCUCAGGGCCAGCGUUUAGCUUUCCCACUCUGUUCUGAAAGAGCUGACACUGCAUAGAAUCUGACACUCUGUAGAAUCAAACCAGCGCACCACAUUCAGGACAUGCAGAUUACUGCAGAUAGGAAAGACAGCAGGUAUGUGGGAGGCUAUGGUAAGAAACAUGCACCCCUCUUCCCAGAGCAGAAAGGGAGCCAGGUAGGGCCAGACCCCCAUCAUAUCAGAGCAGAGGCCUCACUUUGGGAUAGAAUACCACACCAUGCUGCAUCUUGCUUCCACUGUUGAGAAUGAACGACAGAGCUAAAUGUGCUGACACAGGCUUCUGUAGGCCUAGCUCCUUGGGAGGCCGAGGCAGGAGGAGUAGAUUACAAAAAACAAGCUUUGACAGAGUUAGAGUGAGUUCAAGGGCAGUCUGUCCUGAAGUUUUAAAGACAAGAUCCUUGGGCUGGGAGUGUUGCUCAGCGGUAGAGUGCUUGCCUAGCAUGGGCCAAGAAGGGCCUGGUUCCAUGUCCAGGGUGAGUCCUGUGGGUACUGGGUAGCCCAUGCAGAAUCCAGGCUUCAGGAGCAGGACUAAGCCUACUGGAGCUGACAACACAUGCCCAGAGGAAAUCUCAGAGCUUAUGCGGGGCCUGAGUGCUUCCCUUCCCCUACUGGUAUAGCAUCCAUCUCUUUGCCUGUCCUAUCUCUUUCUCUUGGGUACUCACAGAUACAGAGAAACUGCUUAAGACUUGUACCUGGGACCACCACUGAGGAGGAACCACAUCUGCACGUGCCUGAGAUGAUUCAGUCUUGAAGCUAGAGUCUGAACCAGAUGCGGAGACUGGAUGAGCCUCCAGGGCAGAGCAGCAGUGAGCUGCACAUGUCUGGUUGGGCUGUGAUUGAUAUUACAUCACUCUACCUGGCUAGCUGGCCGGGAAAGCAUGUCUGGGUGGGUCUGAAUGUUUCACACAGACAUCAGGAUCAGACAACCAAGCAGACAAGACUGUCUUUAGAAUGUGGGUGGGUACCCUCCACUCACUGGGAGUUCUGCAAUAACAGGGCAGACGAAGUGAACUUCUUCUUUCUUCUGGCACUGGCAGUGUGGGGGUUUAAAUCUUGGCUCACAUCCAGACAGAAUACACCAAACCAACAUGGUUCCAUGCGGAAAGGUUUAAUGAGAGAAGAAGAAUAGAAGAGGGGAGAAGUAAAGGCUGGUCAUGAGCAUGUGAAGGAAAAGGGGAUGGGGAGAGAAAGGACAGGGACAAAAGGGAAGAGAGCAGAGAAGAGUAAGAGAGAGCAAGAGAGCAAGGAGGGGCCAAGCAGUCCCUUAUAUAGUUGCCAGGCAACUGUGGGGCGGAGCAUACCUGGCUGUUGCCAGGUAGCUGUAGGGGUGGAGCUUAGACAGAAAACCAACGGGCACACCGGCAGGCCUGGAGCUUCCUGUGAGACUAACGACAGCUUUGGGGAGUUGCGUGUGACUUCGGGAGUUCUCAGGACUAAGGAUGCUCCUUUGGGAGAGACACUUUCAAGUGGAACCAAACAGUUUCCCUGCCACCCUGACCUCGUCUGUGUGAUGGGCUACUGAAAACUAAGACAGAACUAAACCAAACGAAAAACAGAAACAGCACCAGUAAUAAAUCAAGAAGCACUCGGAGAUGAUCCCAUGGAAACUGCCAACGAGAGAGCUUCCGUCUGCAACCAGGAGAAGAUGGGCCUCUCAAGAUCUAUGUCUGCAGCCAGCCCAGGCCCCUGACUGAGCUACUCCUGCUGACUUUUCAGAGGAAGAGACACUAGACAACUUGCUCCUGAGCCUGGAGGAGCUGGUCUAUGAUGGACAAUACAGCUUCUGUUAGCAUUUAUAAAACAUGGCACAGAGGACAUUUAUUAAAAAAGGAUCCACAAAAGCAUCAAGUUGAAGGAUAAACAUGUGUCCCACAUUUCCUUCAGGGUCUUAGUCCUUUAGAGAGAACACCCUGCACAUAGGAGGUCCCUGAAGUGAUAUCAAACAGAAUUAUGCUGGCAACAGACAUGGGCAUUGCCUCUAUGAGCUCAGCCACUCUCCCCCACUGGGAUGGAAGCUGCUUAGAGCCCUCCUAAGCAGACCUCCUGGUGGCACUGUCUGUAGGCUGCUGGCUUUGAGAGAGUCGGGCACUCACUGCCAUGGCGUCCGGUGACCUUGUGCAUGCACUGUACCACUCUGGACUGGAGCCCCUUCCCGCAGGUGGAUGAGCACUGCCAGAGACAGGGACAGCCUGAACUGAGGGUCUAUGACAUGAUCCUCCCAUACAGAUGCUCCUGGGCAUGUCUUUCCCAAGGACCUGCAAUAUCUGCAUGUCAAGGAUGCUCACUACCUGCUGAAAGAAUGCUUCAGGACGGCAUGUUUAUGCCUCACUGAAUCCCUAACUCCUCAGUGGCUGAUAUAGACAGUUGAGACUUUGCUUAAUCUUGAUAGACAACUUGAUGAGAUUUAGAAUCACCAUAAAAAAAAUCUUUGGGCAUCUCUGGGAGGCAAUAAUGCCUAGGUUAGGCCUAGGUGAAGAGCCACUAUCCAUGUGAGUGGCGCCAUGCCAUAGGCUGAGGUCCUAAACUGAAUGUGCUAAGCUCUCAUUACUUCAUGUUUCCUGACUGUGGGCUCGAUGUGACCAGCUACCUUUACUCCUGUCAUUGAUUUCCCCACCUGAAACCUGAAAUGUGGCAUCCACUGACCAGGGAUUCUGUUCCAGCAAUGUCACCGAUACAGAAUUGAUUAAGUAAGGUACUGGGGACAGGCCACCCAGGAUGAGAUUAGUGUCUUUAUAAGAACACCAAGACCAUUAACUGAGGAUGACAAGAUAGCUCUCUGCAAACUAGGGGAUAUCAGCCUCAUGUUUUGGUGACACUGUUAUAAACAACUGUUCUACCAGUCUUUAAAAACAAAGCACAGAACUAUGAGCAAGAUGAGCUAUUUGAUAAUUGUAAACGGUGUCCCUGGCUGUAUCUAACACAUACAAUAUUUAGAGUCCUACUUAGAAAAGAAUUAGUUGUCCCUUUCCCAUCUGAACCUGUGCCGUGAGCACCUAGGUCUUGGGUGCUGGAUCCACAUGCAGUCCAACAACACCCAGAGGAAGCCUGACUCCUGGCUACUCUAACAUGCCCAGGAUCACAGCUGAGGAGGUCACAACAACUGCUCCAACACUCAGAGUAACUGGGAACCCCAGGAUCCAGGGGCACAGGAACCACCCACCCAGCCAGUUGCAUGGGUUCCUUCCAGUCUGAACCAGUGCCCUUAGCAGACCUUGGGCACUGGCUCCACACCCAGUCCCAAAACGCCCAAUGGAAGCUGCACUACCAGGUGCUCUGAAGUGCCCAGGAUCACAGGAUCACAGAGGAAGCUCGACUACCAGGAGAUCAGACCAAGCCAGGAGCACUGGAGCUCUGACACUCAACAUCACAGUUGAGGCCACAACAUCUUUUCUAACACCCAGAGUAACUAGGACCCCCACAGGAACCAGGGAAACACAAAGCCCCACCCCGCCAGAGCCAGAGGCUUCUUCCAGCAUGUACCUGUGCCCUGAGCAAACCCAGGGCUCUGACUCCCCACCCACUCCUGCAACACCCAGAGAAAGCUUGACUCCCAGGAACUCUGAAACAACAGGAGCUUGGUCACACCAGGAUUUCAGGAUCCAAGAGGCAGCUUGAAACCCAGGAGAUCUGAUACACCCAGGAUCCCAGGAUCCCAGGUUCAAGGAAUCACAGGAUCACAGAGACAACUAGACUCUGAGGAAUUCAGAUACAACCAGGACCACUGGAGGAACAGGCUCCAGUCAGAGACAGCGGGGCAGGUAGCACUAGAGAUAACUAGAAGGCAAAAGGCAAGCACAGGAACAUAAGCAACAGAAACCAAGGCUACACGGCAUCAUCAGAAUGCAGUUCUCCCACUACAGUAAACCCCACUGUACCAGAAAAGCAAGAUUUGGAUUUAAAAAUCACAUCUCAUGAUGAUGAUAGAGGACUAUAGGAAGGACAUAAAAAAAGAAAGAAAACUCCCUUAAAGAAAUACAGGAGAACACAGGUAAACAGGUAGAAGCCCUUAAGGAGGAAAGACAAAAAUCCCUUAAAGAAUUACAGGAAAACACAAACAGGUGAAGAAAUUGAACAAAACCAUCUAGGAUCUAAAAAUGGAAAUAGAAACAAUAAAGAAAUCAAGAUGGGAGACAACCCUGGAGAGAGAAAACCAAAGAAAGAGAUCAGGGGAUCGUAGAUAGAUGCAAGUAUCACCAACAGAAUACAAGAGAUAGAAGAGAGACUCUCAAGUGCAGAAGAUACCAUAGAAAACAUUGACACAACAGUCAAAGAUAAUGCAAAAUGCAAAAUGAUCCUAACCCAAAACAUCCAGGAAAUCCAGGACAUAAUGAGAAGACCAAACCUAAGGAUAAUAGGUAUAGAAGAGAGCAAAGAUUCCCAAUUUAAAGGGUCAGUAAAUAUCUUCAAUAAAAUUAUAGAAGAAAACUUCCCUAACCUAAAGAAAGAGAUGCCCAUAAACAUAUAAAAAGCCUACAGAACUUCAAAUAGACUGGAGCAGAAAAGAAACUCCUUCCAUCCCAUAAUAAUCAAAACACCAAAUGCACAAAACAAAGACUAUUAAAAGCAGUAAGGGGAAAAGGUCAAGUAACAUAUAAAGGCAGAUCUAUCAGAAUCACACCAGACUUCUCACCAGAGACUAUGAAAGCCAGAAGAUCCUACAUUGUAGAAACAGCAAGAAAGUAAUCUUUCAAUUAACCCAAAAGAAGAUAGACACACAAAAAUAAUCCCACCUCUAACAACAAAAAUGACAGGAAGCAACAAUCACUUUUCCCUAAUAUCUCUUAACAUCAAUGGAUUCAAUUCCCCAAUAAAAAAAGACAUAGACUAACUGACUGGAUAUGUAAACAGGACCCAGCAUUUUGCUGCAUACAGGAAACAUACCUCAGUGACAAAGACACUACCUAAGAGUAAAUGGCUGGGAAACAAUUUUCCAAGCAAAUGGUCCCAAGAAACAAACUGGAGUAGCCAUUUUAAUAUCUAAUAAAAUUGAUUUUCAACCAAAAGUUAUCAAAAAAUAUAAGGAAGUACACUUCACACUGGACAAAGGAAAAAUCUACCAAGAUGAGCUCUCAAUUCUAAACAUCUAUAUUCCAAAUGCAAGGAGACCCACAUUCAUGAAAGAAACCUUACUAAAGUUCAAAGCACACAUUACACCUCACACAAUAAUAGUGGGUAACUUCAACACCCCACUCUCAUCAAUGGACAGAUCAUAGAAACAGAAACUAAACAGAGACACAGAGAAACUAACACAAGUUAUGAACCAAAUGGAUUUAACAGACAUUUAUAGAACAUUUCAUCCUAAAACAAAAGAAUAUACCUUCUUCUCAGCACCUCAUGGUUCCUACUACCAUAACUGACCAUAUAAUUGGUCACCAUGGACUAAGAAUGGUCGUCAAUAACAACAAAAACAACAGAAAGCUCACAUGUACAUGGAAGUUGAACAACGCUCUACUCAAUGAUAACCUGGUCAAGGAAGAAAUAAAGAUAUUAAAGACUUUUUAGAAUUUAAUGAAAAUAAAGGUGCAACAUAACAAAACUUAUGGGCCACAAUGAAAGAAGUGCCAAGACGAAAAGUCAUAAGUCUGAGUGCCUCCAAAAAGAAACUGGAGAGAACAUACACCAGUAGCUUGACAGCACACAUGAAAGCUCUAGAACAAAAGAGAAGUAAAUACACCCAAGAGAAGUAGAAGGCAGGAAAUAAUCAAACUCAGGGAUGAAAUCAACCAAAUAGAGACAAAAAGAACUAUACAAAUAAUCAACAAAAGCAGGAGUUGGUUCUUUGAGAAAAUCAACAUGAUAGGUAAACCAGACUAGCCAGAGGGCACAGAGACAGUAUCCAAUUAACAAAAUCAGAAAUGAAAAAAAACGGACAUAACAACAGAAACUGAGGAAAUUAAAAAAAAUCAUCAGAUCCUACUACCAAAGCCUCUACUCAACAAAACUGGAAAAUCUGGAUGAAAUGUAAAGUUUUCUAGAUAGAUACAGGUACCAAAGUUAAAUCAGGAUCAGAUAAACCAUCUAAAUAGUCCCAUAAUCCUUAAAGAAAUAGAAGAAGUUAUUAAGAGUAUCCCCCCCAAAAAAAAAAAAAAAAAAAAAAAAAAAAAGCCCAGGACAAGACAGGAUUAUUGCCAAGUUCUAUCAGACUUUCAAAGAAGACCGAAUACCAAUACUUGUCAAACUAUUACACAAAAUAGAAA